This 2650-nucleotide long non-coding RNA is filed under the name Triticum aestivum (bread wheat). RNAcentral describes it as "long non-coding RNA (TAES_LNC019985)". The stretch from base 1539 to 1625 matches the Rfam family "MIR1120/MIR1122 microRNA precursor family". Lineage: Eukaryota; Viridiplantae; Streptophyta; Magnoliopsida; Poales; Poaceae. The record is from RNAcentral.
UUCAGAGAUUACCCGUUUGCCGUUUGCAUACCAACACCACUUCUGACGUGAUGCUGAUAUGUCUCAUUUUUUGCACGCAUGUACAAAGGUGUAUCCUCAAUAUCUCCAAGCUUCAGAGACGACGGCAGCUUGCCCGCCUUAUCGAAGUCGCGUUGGCGCGGCGAAUGUGAAGCCAGUCCCAGCUGCAACAAGUAAUUACCAACUAGUGGUUGGGGCACGCCCGUGGCGUGCCUCUUGAGGCGUAUAUGUGCGCAUUUGUAUUGCUGAUGCGCCUCACCACGUUCUAUGUGGUCAUUUCACAGGUUCACACACAUUUGUCUUCUAGUAAUAGCAAAAUAAGAUUUGUUAGAAUGAAGUUAUGGGUUUUCUUUUCUCUACAAGAUGAAAGUUUGCCUUAAUAAACAAAAGCAAAGCUUUACUCGGCAGCACAGAAAAAAUAAACAAUAAAAUAAGAUGAUGACGUGAAAUGAAUCAAUAUUUUCCUUGCCAUUCAAAUCAAAAGAAGAAAAAAAACUUUACCAACAUUAUAUGUACCAUCAUUGCACAUAGCAACAACUCAAGAAUUCACAGGACCCCCUUCAAUUUGUUAAACACCCCUGCCGCCACCCACUUAGGCCUCCUUUGGUUUAGAGGAAUUUCAUAGGAAUUCUAGAGGAUAGGAUUCUUAUAGGAUUUUUUCCUUUAGAGCCUUUUGGUUCAUAGGAAUGGAUUCCUAUUCCUACAUAGGAUUGGUUCCUAUCCUCCACAUUUCAUAGGAAAAUAAAAAAGAGCCUAGACUCAAUGGAAAAAUUACUUUGGUGUCAACCAAAUGACAUCUUGUUUCCUAUUCCUACUCAUAGGAUUUGAGAUACAUGUCAUCUCAUUUCCUACAAGAUUCCUAUUCCUAUGAUAAUCCUAUCCUAUGAACCAAAAGAAGCAUUAGAGUUUUGUGCCCUUGCUGCACAGCUAUCCUCAUCGAUCCUAUGAUCACCAAUGCAACUCCUCUUGUGUUUCCUUUUGUAAGGCAUGUAACAUCCAACAAAAGCAAUAUUCUUUAAACUUCCUUUAAUAUAAAAUAUGGAAAUUCAUUUACCUGAGAUGUAAAAGAACAAUUGGAGGUAAUCAGUGCAAAAUUCUGAACCACCAUCAAAUAAAGACAAUGAUGUGUUGCAGAAUGUAGCCACUAAAGUAGUCAAAAUAAUAGAUUAGCCCCUUUUGACAACAUACAUAUAUAAUCAGGAAGCAUCAGAUGAAUAUUAAACUACUAAAGUCUCUUGCUGCGAAACAUAACAAAAACGUAUUUAUUGCCAUGCACCUUGUUGGACUGCAUUUGCCGGCUACUUAGAUGUCCAGUUUGAAAUAAAGUAUUCAUCAAAUAGCAGCGAUAUAAGACCUAUUGUGUCCCAGAAAAAUUCCAAGACAAUAAAAAUGACAUAUCAUAUUGAGACGACAAUACUAACUCAACCUGAAGUUGUUGACCCAAGUCUUAAAAGAACACCCGAAUCACCGUGAUGUUUCAAUCUCAAAUGGGUGGUUUAAUUGAGAACAAAAUAUAUCAAGUACUCCCUCCGUCCCAUAAUGUAAGACGUUUUUUGACACUACACUAGAGCCAAAAAACGUCUUACAUUAUGGGACGGAGGGAGUACAAAGGAAUUAAGAAAGAAUGUGCUCAUCGUGGUAAUCAUAGAAGUAUGAUGGCACCAAAUAGUCCAAAUUUAUGUAUAUCUAUCUUUCCCAAAGCAUCACCCAUGGGCCAUGGUUCCCUUGAUUUAUUUGCUACCAUCAAAAGAAGGCUUCAGCCUGUAUGUAUGGAAUAUUUUAGGGGAAGUAAAUUACAGAACGGCCUAUUGGUGUAAGAUGAAGAGAAUGUCUUAUCUAUGCAAGAAACCAGUAGCUUUAUAGGCAGCAUGAGCAACGGCUGAAAUCAUGCAGAAACCUAACAAAAAUAUCACUUCACACAUAAAUUACGUCAACUAAUAGCUCUAUUUCUUCACCAUCAGGUUCAUAUAAGCAGACAGAGAACAUCAUACUCUCAAGUCAGUGCUUGUGAAACUUACAUAUUUCUACAACACCUAAUUGGCAACAGUAAGCUUAUGUGAUCUCUGCACAAACCAGGACCUAAAUGACGGUUUUCAUAGUUCGAGGACCUACGUGACACCUCUAAAAUAGUUUAAGGACCUAUGAUGCACUUCACUCUAAUCUAAAAUACGUAUUGCCAGUGAUUUCUAUUCCCAAAUCAAAGGGGCAGCAAGGCUUCACAAACUCCUCCAUCUCAUAGAAACGGAGCUAAGCCACCGACGUCGUCCCUUCUCAAGCUGUCGCAGGAGAGAGAGAGAGAGAGAGAGAGAGAGAGAGAGAGAGGGAGAGAGAGAGAGAGAAACCUGGGCAUGCGACCGAUGGCGGGGAGAGACUGGGGCGGCGCCUUUGGAUCUCGGCUUUCUUGGUGUCAUUGCAGACUGCUUGGCUGCCGAUCUAGUGCGUACGACCAUGUCAGCUACCUCCAUGGAUCUGGAGUUUAGGCAAAGGAGAAACGGGGCAAGAGAGAGGAGAGGGAAGGGGAGAUGGGACGGCGGCCUGUCUGAGGAAGCGAUAGGGAAGGGGGGAGGUGUUGCGUGCGCUCGAAUGAAAAGGAAAGGUGAGGGAAGUUUGCUUCGAGGGGAAGGGAAAGCAG